Molecule: microRNA, 22 nt
Filed under: Ornithorhynchus anatinus (platypus)
Lineage: Eukaryota; Metazoa; Chordata; Mammalia; Monotremata; Ornithorhynchidae
Description: oan-miR-1421ae
Source: miRBase by way of RNAcentral
AACAGGUUAUAUAUGGUGCAGU